GGUUUCUGAGAGGUGAUAUAAGUGAGCUUCUUGUUGCUAUUGAUGCUAAUAUUGUCAUGGGAUGUGUUGAAAAGGUUGUUAAAGAUAAGAAAGUGUUAAAUUUGAUAAAAACUGCGCUUAAACCGGCAACUAGGAGUCGACAACCACCAAAGAGCGGUGUUAGUGAAGAGUUGAGACGGAAGAAAAAGAAGGGGGCUACAAAGAAGAAGAUUUUGAAUGAGAAUGAGCC
RNAcentral lists this unclassified non-coding RNA (229 nucleotides) under Hevea brasiliensis (rubber tree). Lineage: Eukaryota; Viridiplantae; Streptophyta; Magnoliopsida; Malpighiales; Euphorbiaceae. The record is from RNAcentral.